Molecule: ribosomal RNA, 301 nt
Filed under: uncultured bacterium
Lineage: Bacteria
Description: partial 16S ribosomal RNA
Rfam family: Bacterial small subunit ribosomal RNA
Source: RNAcentral
CAGCAGCCGCGGUAAUACGUAGGGUGCAAGCGUUAAUCGGAAUUACUGGGCGUAAAGCGUGCGCGGGCGGUUCGUAAGACAGAUGUGAAAUCCCCGGGCUUAACCGGGGACCUGCAUUUGUGACUGCGAGGCUAGAGUGUGUCAGAGGGGGGUGGAAUUCCACGUGUAGCAGUGAAAUGCGUAGAUAUGUGGAGGAACACCGAUGGCGAAGGCAGCCCCCUGGGAUAACACUGACGCUCAUGCACGAAAGCGUGGGGAGCAAACAGGAUUAGAUACCCCGGUAGUCCCUGUCUCUUAUACA